GUUGCCCAACUCCAGUCGCCGUCGCCCCUUUCUACUCUCGAUUCCUCACGAGGUUCGAUCAAUCCUUCCCUUUUCGCCUCUUUUGGUUGUUCUGUGCUUGUUCUAUGUUUGUGCUCUGCAAAUUUACGGUUGGUGUUUGUGCUGCAAGUUCUCAGGUAGAUUUCGCUCGGGCGAGAGCGAGAAGCGAGAAGCCCGCGUUCUUGGGGCAACUUUCAGCUAUGACAGGUUUCGCCGCCGAGGCCACUAGGGUAAGAAGCCCGCGUUUUGAAUGAGAAACAUGGGAUGGAUUGAAGGGGUUUGCAUUUCCAUUUGUUAUGAGGAAAGUGAAGAAUGGCUAUUUGGACUGCAUUUUGUUGCUCUGCAAAUUGCAAGUAUGGCUUGUGGAACUUCCCAUGGGCAUUCAUGUACUGUUACUGGUGCAAGGCACUUGGGAUUUUAUGAACGGCAUAAUAAAUGGUGAUUGACUAGGUUUUCUUAUUGGAACUAUUUUAAAUAGCAUAGAAAACUUUCUCCAUGUUCUGGUUGUGGAUUUUUGUGUGUAUGUUGUGCAGGCAAGGCAAGUGUUGGUUGAUUUUCAUUGGACUAUGAGAUAUUUAAGGACACCUCAGUGACCUUUGUUAUGUUUAUCCGUUGUCUAUGCUUGUGUUAUUGCAGAUAUGGGAUGGAUUGAAGGGGUUUGCAUUUCCAUUUGUUUGUUCCUCUUGGAUCCCCGGUUGACAUUGCUUAGUAGAAGUCUUAUGUAUUGUAUCAAUUUCUUGCUGGUGCAAACUCUAAAGCCAGGAGUGACUUGCUUUUGGAUUCAAAUGCAGAUGGAAAUUAUUCCUGCGUAGAGUUGAAACAUGCUAACAAGAUCAUCGGCACCACUGCAGAGGAGGUUGUUAUGAAGGCCAAGGAGGGUGCUGGCAUCCCUUGACAUGUUCCCGGAAUGUAAAAAUAGUGCCCUUUUUUUUUGUUAAUUUUUGUUUCUUUUUGGCCAGUUAUAUAUAUUUUUGUUAAUAGCGGCAGACCUAGGAAGUUUGUUGGCACCUUCGCUUGUAUC
RNAcentral lists this long non-coding RNA (1039 nucleotides) under Eucalyptus grandis. Its description in RNAcentral is "long non-coding RNA (EGRA_LNC000132)". Lineage: Eukaryota; Viridiplantae; Streptophyta; Magnoliopsida; Myrtales; Myrtaceae. The record is from RNAcentral.